UACGUAGGGGGCAAGCGUUGUCCGGAAUCAUUGGGCGUAAAGCGUACCGAUAGGUGGUUUUGAAAGUCAGAGGUGAAAUUACGAAGCUCAACUUCGUAACUGUCCUUUGAAACUUCAAGACUAGAGGGGCAAAGAGGAAGCUGGAACAAACGGUGUAGUAGUGAAAUGCGUUGAUAUCGUUUGGAACACCAAUAGCGUAGGCAGGCUUCUGGGUGCCACCUGACACUGCUAGGACGAAAGCGUGGGGAGCGAAUGGG
Molecule: ribosomal RNA, 257 nt
Filed under: uncultured bacterium
Lineage: Bacteria
Description: partial 16S ribosomal RNA
Rfam family: Bacterial small subunit ribosomal RNA
Source: RNAcentral